This 329-nucleotide unclassified non-coding RNA is filed under the name plant metagenome. RNAcentral describes it as "partial contains 5.8S ribosomal RNA, internal transcribed spacer 2, and large subunit ribosomal RNA". The stretch from base 1 to 105 matches the Rfam family "5.8S ribosomal RNA", at positions 50 to 154 of the family's 154-position model. The record is from RNAcentral.
GAAAUGCGAUAAGUAAUGUGAAUUGCAGAAUUCCGUGAAUCAUCGAAUCUUUGAACGCACAUUGCGCCCUCUGGUAUUCCGGGGGGCAUGCCUGUCCGAGCGUCAUUGCGAACCCCUCAAGCACGGCUUGUGUGAUGGGCCCUCCCGCGUCUUGGUCGUCAAGACGGGCCCGAAAUGCAGUGGCGGCUUCGCGGUUAUCCGAUCAGCCAGAGCGUAUGGGGACUUUCUCUCUGUCACACGCCCGCGGCGCGGACCGACGCCUGUCGACCUUUAUUCAUCUUUUUCUCGGUUGACCUCGGAUCAGGUAGGGGUACCCGCUGAACUUAAGC